This 754-nucleotide long non-coding RNA is filed under the name Pan troglodytes (chimpanzee). RNAcentral describes it as "lincRNA". The record is from RNAcentral. Lineage: Eukaryota; Metazoa; Chordata; Mammalia; Primates; Hominidae.
GGAGCUUACAAAGGAAUGAACAAGAGGAAAGAAGAUUCUGGUCUCACUUAAAAUGGACUGCAGUACCUCCUCUGCUUGAAAUUCAAAGAAGCCAAGAUGUACGGGAAAGAAGACCAGCAGGAAGAACCGUGAGAAAGGCAGUAGCAGUAGGAAAGAAAGCAAGGGAUGAUUUGAGAUUCCUUUAGAGAUCAAUUGGAAAGACUGGAAAACUGCUUUCAUAUAGAAAGUUGGAGAUUAAACAAUCAUAAGUCAGUUGAUAAGUGGGUGAUGGGAAAGGUUUGAAACUUUUAAAUGCUGGCCUCAUAAAUCAUCCUGAUACCAAAGCCAGGCAGAGACACAACCAAAAAAGAGAAUUUUAGACCAAUAUCCUUGAUGAACAUUGAUGCAAAAAUCCUCAAUAAAAUACUGGCAAACGAAUCCAGCAGUACAUCAAAAAGCUUAUCCACCAUGAUCAAGUGGGCUUCAUCCCUGGGAUGCAAGGCUGGUUCAAUAUGCGCAAAUCAAUAAAUGUAAUCCAGCAUAUAAACAGAACCAAAGACAAAAACCACAUGAUUAUCUCAAUAGAUGCAGAAAAGGCCUUCGACAAAAUUCAACAACGCUUCAUGCUAAAAACUCUCAAUAAAUUAGGUAUUGAUGGGACAUAUCUCAAAAUAAUAAGAGCUAUCUAUGACAAACCCACAGCCAAUAUCAUACUGAAUGGACAAAAACUGGAAGCAUUCCCUUUGAAAACUGGCACAAGACAGGGAUGCCUUCU